RNAcentral lists this ribosomal RNA (987 nucleotides) under Plasmodium knowlesi. RNAcentral's name for it is "SSU rRNA". It matches the Rfam family "Eukaryotic small subunit ribosomal RNA", at positions 638 to 1428 of the family's 1831-position model. The record is from RNAcentral. Lineage: Eukaryota; Apicomplexa; Aconoidasida; Haemosporida; Plasmodiidae.
ACAUAACUGAUGCCUCCGCGUAUCGACUUUGUGCGCAUUUUAGCUAUUAUGUGUUCUUUUAAUUAAAAUGAUUCUUUUUAAGAUUCAUCUAUUAAGAAUUUGCUUCGGCAUAAUUUUUUUUGAUGAUCUUGUUACUUUGAGUAAAUUAGAGUGUUCAAAGCAAACAGAUAUAGCAUUUGUGCGUUUGAAUACUACAGCAUGGAAUAACAAAAUUGAACAAGUCAGAAUUUUUUUGUUCUUUUUUCUUAUUUUGGCUUAGUUACGAUUAAUAGGAGUAGCUUGGGGGCAUUUGUAUUCAGAUGUCAGAGGUGAAAUUCUUAGAUUUUCUGGAGACAAACAACUGCGAAAGCAUUUGCCUAAAAUACUUCCAUUAAUCAAGAACGAAAGUUAAGGGAGUGAAGACGAUCAGAUACCGUCGUAAUCUUAACCAUAAACUAUGCCGACUAGGCUUUGGAUGAAAGAUUUUAAAAUAAGAGUUUUUCUUUUCUCUCCGGAGAUUAGAACUCUUAGAUUGCUUCCUUCAGUGCCUUAUGAGAAAUCAAAGUCUUUGGGUUCUGGGGCGAGUAUUCGCGCAAGCGAGAAAGUUAAAAGAAUUGACGGAAGGGCACCACCAGGCGUGGAGCUUGCGGCUUAAUUUGACUCAACACGGGAAAACUCACUAGUUUAAGACAAGAGUAGGAUUGACAGAUUAAUAGCUCUUUCUUGAUUUCUUGGAUGGUGAUGCAUGGCCGUUUUUAGUUCGUGAAUAUGAUUUGUCUGGUUAAUUCCGAUAACGAACGAGAUCUUAACCUGCUAAUUAGCGGCAAAUACGAUAUAUUCUUAUGUAGAAUUGAAUAUAGUGGAUUUGUUGGAUUUUGAAGAAAAUAUUGGAAUUACGUUAAAUGUGAUUCCUUUCCCUUUUCUACUUAAUUUACAUUUCCAUCUAUUUCUUUUUUGCGUAUGAAUGUAUUUGCUUGAUUGUAAAGCUUCUUAGAGGAACGAUGUGUG